Long non-coding RNA from Gossypium raimondii (Peruvian cotton), 1210 nucleotides. RefSeq lists it as uncharacterized. The record is from RefSeq and is a predicted model, not a curated record. NCBI's taxonomy places the organism in Eukaryota, Viridiplantae, Streptophyta, Magnoliopsida, Malvales, Malvaceae. The transcript has 5 exons.
CCAUUUCGGUACAACCAAUGCCCAACAUUCAACCUGAGAAAAAUCUCUUCCUCUCCCAAGGUUUUCUCAUUGAUGAUGAUACCACCCCUUUUCCAAUUACCAUUUCCAGAUCUUUCUUUCCGUCCUUUCGCUGCCUAAUGGCUCUCAUUUUCCUUUUGUCAGACACGAUUUCCAAUUCUCUCUUCUCCUCCCAUCGCUGUCUGGUGUCUCGCAUCCUCCUCCAACACCAUUACCUCCUUUCUUGGUAGUCGAUAAUCCAGCAUAAAAUUAUUGAUCCUCAUUUGCUGUUUGGACCCGUCUGAUAAUACUGAGCGCAUCCUCUUCAAUUGCUACUCUUCAGAGCCCCAUUUCUACCCCUAGCUGUACUACCUGCAAGCAGGCUAUUGCAUCCGCCACAAAGGGUGUAGGUAUUCGAUCGUUGACCGUCAUUUUGACACCUAAAAUUUCUCCUUUCGCGUUUCUACAAAUUAUGCCCGUACCUGAUUUUUUCCUCUGUUUAUCACAUGCCCCAUCGGAAUUUAUUUUGGCCAUAAGUUGGUCCGGCAGUUUCUAGCGUUCAUCAUCACAUCUCUACCCAGACCGCCCAUAUGCUUCCAAAAAGGAGUUGUAUUUGCGAGGCUGUCGUUUUGGACAAUCUCGAAUAGCAUGUUCCAGAGUGUCUGUGCCAUCCCUACACCUGAGGCAUAAAGCCGAAUUACGGACUCUUCUGUAAUGUAGAUUAUCAAACGUAGGAAUAUAGUUAUUAUAGAUUCUCCGGUUCGUAAUUUUAAUUUUGCUAGGCAAAUCUGCCUGCCAUAGAUUGUUGUAAUACUCUUUGCUUUGUAUCUUUGCUAUUGUCUAUUUCUGGGUUUGUACUCCCCCUUAGUAGCCUCUUGUAUCCGCUUCUGACUCUGUACUCCCCCGUUGGUUCUCCACUCCAAACUCUACUAUCUUCUCGCGGAUGCUUUGCCAGAGGGAUGUUCAGUAUUGCAUCUCCCUCAACGUUAGUGAACAAUCUGGGACCCAAGCAUCCUGCCAAAUUGAAAUGCAAUUACCAUUACCAACUCCCCAAGUCAUCCCAUCCUGCAGCACCUUUUUCGUUACCCAUAUACUUCUCCAAGUAUACGAAGGGUAAUUUCCUAACUCUGCCCGCAUGAAGUCGGUGUUUGGAUAAUAUUUUGCCUUCAAGGUCUUUGCUAAUAAUGAAUAUGGGAAUUCCAUUAAUCAACAA